CCUUGCCACGGAGCACGGAGGUUGACACACAUUGGGACUUUCUAGUUAUCAAGCAGUGGUGCUAUUCCUUUACCCUUGUGGGUAAUAGUAGGGUAGCUGGAACUUCAAAGCUUAUGUGUCAAACCUUUGUCAGAGAUCUUUGGAAAAGUUAUAUGUGGUACCCGAGGAGCUGAUGUUGCGUGUGGAAAGUGGUGCCUCUUUGGAAUCUGGAGAGUGGUGCCUUUUCGAUUUUUGAACCAACGGCCUUGUUGCCCUUUCUUUUAUAAGGGCACCAAUUGUGUGCAAAAAGUACAUUCAGAGAAUUAUUGCUUGUAGGAAUUUUCCCUUUACUUCAGAGAUUUAUUGCACCUCAUUUAUCCUUCAUCAUUUCUGAGAAUGUCUGGCCCAUCCGACCGUCGUUUUGACUUGAACUUUGGUGAAGAGGCA
RNAcentral lists this long non-coding RNA (426 nucleotides) under Malus domestica (apple). RNAcentral describes it as "long non-coding RNA (MDOM_LNC015590)". Lineage: Eukaryota; Viridiplantae; Streptophyta; Magnoliopsida; Rosales; Rosaceae. The record is from RNAcentral.